CAGGCGGGAACCCGCCCAUGAUGGCUCCAGACACAACAAAGAGUAUCCAAGUGCGGGGCUCUUGGCAGUCAGGCACUGCUGGCCUGCCGAUCACCAGCUGGCUUUAGUAAAAUAUGGGCAGUGACGCUAUGGGUUGUGAUUCACCCUCCAAGAACUGUGCUUGCAGUUCCCAACUGAUCCAGCACGGAGCACAGUGCCUGUUAACAACCUGAGCAAGAUAAGGAUAAUAGCACCCUGCAACUUCUCACCAAGAGAGAGGGCAUCUCUGAACAAGACCGCUGAAGCUGAGAGCUGGAAGGAGCUGAGUGUCUUCUAGUCUCUCCCAGGAGGGAAGAGCUGUGCUGAUGGACAAGAGGACAGGUUGGACACUGUGCUGAUGGACAAGAGGACAGGUUGGUCACUGUGGACUUAGCUGACUCCAGGUACCACAUCCAGUGAUCUUUGUCUUGAAUAUUAGUUACCUGCUCCCUUGGAGAUGUGGCUUCUCUCUCCCUAUAGAUUGUAUGGAUUUUAUGCUUCUUACCAUUUUUGUUUACGUGGACAUCAUCAUGCAAGUCCUUACCUGUGCUCUAGAUGUUAGAAAAAUGAGAAGGCAUGUUCAUCUUGGAAAAAUGAAGCCUAAAUCCUAGACAAUCUGGGGACUGGCAGCCCAGCUCCAUUGCAGAGCCUG
This 670-nucleotide long non-coding RNA is filed under the name Homo sapiens (human). Its description in RNAcentral is "HSALNT0083621". The record is from RNAcentral. Lineage: Eukaryota; Metazoa; Chordata; Mammalia; Primates; Hominidae.